GCAUAUUUCUACUACUUCUCAGAGUCUUGGGGACUACGACUAAGGAGAUAAACCAUGC
Marmota marmota marmota (Alpine marmot) is the source of this 58-nucleotide small nucleolar RNA. Its record names the gene SNORA73. It matches the Rfam family "Small nucleolar RNA SNORA73 family". Rfam says of the family: U17 (SNORA73A and SNORA73B) also known as E1 belongs to the H/ACA class of small nucleolar RNAs (snoRNAs). Vertebrate U17 is intron-encoded and ranges in length from 200-230 nucleotides, longer than most snoRNAs. The record is from Ensembl. Lineage: Eukaryota; Metazoa; Chordata; Mammalia; Rodentia; Sciuridae.